RNAcentral lists this ribosomal RNA (438 nucleotides) under uncultured Actinomycetes bacterium. RNAcentral describes it as "bacterial SSU rRNA". It matches the Rfam family "Bacterial small subunit ribosomal RNA", at positions 917 to 1359 of the family's 1533-position model. Lineage: Bacteria; Bacillati; Actinomycetota; Actinomycetes. The record is from RNAcentral.
GGGCCCGCACAAGCGGCGGAGCAUGCGGAUUAAUUCGAUGCAACGCGAAGAACCUUACCUGGGUUUGACAUACACCGGAAACACCUAGAGAUAGGUGCCCUUUUAGUCGGUGUACAGGUGGUGCAUGGCUGUCGUCAGCUCGUGUCGUGAGAUGUUGGGUUAAGUCCCGCAACGAGCGCAACCCUCGUCCUAUGUUGCCAGCAAUUCGGUUGGGGACUCAUAGGAGACUGCCGGGGUCAACUCGGAGGAAGGUGGGGAUGACGUCAAGUCAUCAUGCCCCUUAUGUCCAGGGCUUCACGCAUGCUACAAUGGCCGGUACAAAGGGCUGCGAUCCCGUGAGGGUGAGCGAAUCCCAAAAAGCCGGUCUCAGUUCGGAUUGGGGUCUGCAACUCGACCCAUGAAGUCGGAGUCGCUAGUAAUCGCAGAUCAGCAACGCUG